GCAGGGGCUUGAUCUUGAAGAACAUCUUCAUCCAUGGCCAAUUCUUGACCCCCAUGAAUGCACGGACGUUCCACUGGAUCACCAGCAAGGUUAUUCUCACCUGCGUUCUACAAUUUUCUGGAACUCAAUCCUGGCAAGAAGUCCACGGCUUCUAGCCUGGAUACCAGUGAUGAUGAGAGCAAGACGGUCGUCUCUCAUCUCCUCAAGGACACCCAAGAGACCAGCUUUGAAGAACACCUGAUAACAGUCAAAAAAGUCUCCGUACUGGAUCCUGUUGGGGAAGCCCUUUCUGCAGAUCCUGAUGCCUUCCAGCACACCGUUACAGCGCAGCUGGUGCAUAACCAAAGGAUUCUCCAUGGCCCCAGGAGUCUUGGUCUCGUUGGGGAUGAUGCAGCGCACAAAGUGGGGCAGCAGAUUGCCUACUUACCUCAGGGUUGUUCUCUGCUGUACCUGCCCCCACUGCCAAGGGCAUGGUUGAUUUGUCCUUUUUAUGUGGGGUGGUCCAUCCCAAUAUGGACGUGAGACCUUGAGACUCCCACCGCACCAGAGUUUUAUUAAAGGAAAACCAGCCUAAAGGGUGCAUACAUGGCAGUGUCCUCCUUGACAUCUCCAUGGCCAUGUUGAAAAUCCCAACCUGCUGAUCCAUGUGCACUUCAUCUUCUCUACAUCAUGCAUGCUGUCUACGGACAGCUGUCCUUUCAGUACAUCAAGCACAUUUCAUUGUUUUGGAACGGAAGCUUAUCAGUGAGGAGCAGCCGCAAGCAUAACUCUGUCGUUCGGUAACUGACCGACAAACGCGAAAGGCAGAGCUAGAAUUUCAGGUCAUUGUUCCUGCACCAAACACCAGGGUCUGGACCUCUUCAUAUAUUUAAAG
Molecule: long non-coding RNA, 874 nt
Organism: Alosa alosa (allis shad)
Lineage: Eukaryota; Metazoa; Chordata; Actinopteri; Clupeiformes; Clupeidae
Exons: 7
Source: RefSeq, a predicted model, not a curated record